Molecule: small RNA, 27 nt
Filed under: Bombyx mori (domestic silkworm)
Lineage: Eukaryota; Metazoa; Arthropoda; Insecta; Lepidoptera; Bombycidae
Description: ovarian small RNA-23987
Source: RNAcentral
UAUGUAAUAAGGCGAACCUAUUAAUGC